This 75-nucleotide transfer RNA is filed under the name Bacillota bacterium. RNAcentral describes it as "tRNA-Arg". It matches the Rfam family "tRNA". Rfam says of the family: Transfer RNA (tRNA) molecules are approximately 80 nucleotides in length. RNAcentral also lists the same sequence under 3 other names. The record is from RNAcentral. Lineage: Bacteria; Bacillati; Bacillota.
GUCUCCGUAGGUAAAUGGAUAUACCAACGCUCUCCUAAAGCGUAAUUGUGGGUUCGAUUCCCACCGGGGAUACCA